GGUUGCGAAGGAAAAAAUUGAAAUCCCUAAUUCCCAACUUCAUCUCCUUUCUAAUUCCGUCUCCGGUGGUGGUGGUUCGAGGUGAUGCGGUUCAGGGACUCUUAAGCGCCAAAAAGGGAUUCUAAAAAACCCUAACCUUCUUCUGCAGUGUCGGUGAGGCACAACGUAUGGAUCAUGGCUCCAAAAUUUGGGUUCCUAUUUUCGUAAUGGUCGCCGGAGCAAGGUAAUGACCCAUCUACUCUCACUUCUCUAUUUGCUUACUUAUUCUAUUAGUUAGAAAUGUUCUCUGAACUCGUUGUAGUACCUGCUCUGAGUCGUUGUAAUGCCUUAUGUGUUAAGGCGGUUGGAA
Molecule: long non-coding RNA, 349 nt
Filed under: Lupinus angustifolius (narrow-leaved blue lupine)
Lineage: Eukaryota; Viridiplantae; Streptophyta; Magnoliopsida; Fabales; Fabaceae
Description: long non-coding RNA (LANG_LNC000656)
Source: RNAcentral